RNAcentral lists this microRNA precursor (84 nucleotides) under Podarcis lilfordi (Lilford's wall lizard). The record is from RNAcentral. Lineage: Eukaryota; Metazoa; Chordata; Lepidosauria; Squamata; Lacertidae.
UUCGUGUGUGUGUGUGUGUGUGUGUGUGUGUGUGCGCAUGCGUGCGUGCGUGCACACACAUGCACACAAACACACACACGUGAG